RNAcentral lists this ribosomal RNA (1057 nucleotides) under Trisetacus quadrisetus. Its description in RNAcentral is "partial 28S ribosomal RNA". It matches the Rfam family "Eukaryotic large subunit ribosomal RNA", at positions 56 to 634 of the family's 3401-position model. The record is from RNAcentral. Lineage: Eukaryota; Metazoa; Arthropoda; Arachnida; Trombidiformes; Phytoptidae.
GAAAAGAAAGCAAAAGCGAUUCCCAAAGUAACGGCGAGUGAACAGGGAUAAGCCUAGCGCUAAGGAUCAAUGUGAUUUUGAUUGACAAUUGGGGCAACUUGGUUGUUAGUCAGAGUCAACAUAUAGCAUUGAUCGGUGCAGCGUUACAAACUUUAGUGUUUAGUAGUAUCAAUGAUAUAUUGAUAGCAAUACUGAUAUGUCUCCUUUAGCCUAGGAUGCAAGUCCCAUUGACUUGGGCUUAUCUUCCAAUUGAGAUGACUAUAAUGUUGGGGAAACUUGAUAUUAUGGUUGAGCCAUAGAGGGUGAAAGUCCCUUAACGUCCAGGUAUUGAUACUACGAACUAGAGAGCCAGCAAUGGCAUUUUGUUAGAGUCGGGUUGCUUGAGAGUGCAACCUAAAGAGCGAGGUAAACUGCUCGUAAGGCUAUUAGAGAAAUAUCGCUACGACACCGAUAGCAAACAAGUACCGUGAGGGAAAGUUGCAAAGUACUUUGAAGAGAGAGUUAAACAGGGCGUGAAACCGCUAGCUGGUAAACGAGUGGAGCCACGAAGUCGUUUCGUAGAAUAAAGAAUACAAAUUCAAUUGAGGUUGUCGCAAGAUGGCUUCAGUGUACUUUUGUUUAUUCUUCUAUGUAGGCGUACACUGCAACCAAUUAGACGAUCAAUUGUGGAAAUAAUUGAUUAGUAUUAGGAGAAAUCCUGAUAUUUCAAUCAAUAAAAUGCUUAUAUACUAGCUGUAGGUAGCUUAAUUUGAUCCUUGUGAUCCUAUUGAGUGUAUGACAUUUUUGUUAGUAUGAGAACUACAAUUGAAUACUGAUUGGCACAAUGAAAUUCCAUUUGCAAAAAUGGUUCUUAGAUAAUACUACCUAUAUUGUAUAUGUGUACAAGUAUUUAUUAUUAGCACUAAGAUUAGCAGUUUUAAAUUUAGACUAUCUGGCUCUCUUUGAUUUCGGUCAUUGAGGCUUGUGUAGCUUUCUAUCUAAUUGGCUGUUAACUUUGUUAGUGAUCUUGUAUUUGUCAAUGAUAGCAUAUAUGCAAUAAUAGGGCAAGUCAUCUUAU